This is a non-coding RNA of Cicer arietinum (chickpea), 2219 nucleotides long. NCBI's taxonomy places the organism in Eukaryota, Viridiplantae, Streptophyta, Magnoliopsida, Fabales, Fabaceae. The record is from RefSeq and is a predicted model, not a curated record.
CUUUUCCUUAUGGUUGGGGGCUGGGAGGUAAAAGAGGGGACGAAGCGGAUCGGGAUUUGGAAGAUCAACGACGAGCUCUAUUGAUUCUCCAAUCCAGUGGGCAAAGACAUACCCGUCUAUUGGGCCUAAGUUGUUCCAAAAUAAAUGAGCCCAUAUUGAUUGGAUAUGGCCAUGGCGGCAGCAAAGCAGAGUAACGACCUCCGCCUCCCUCAAGCACAGAGACGGUGAAAGACGAAACAAUGCGUUGGCCAUUUCCUCUUACAUCUUCAUCAACUCGCUUCCUUCGAUUUCGCUUCAUACCCUUCCAAUCCCAUUCCUCUCAUCACAACAAUUUCUCCACACAUAACCCAAUUCCCGUUCCAAUUACAUACCCCGUUCUUGAUCAAACAACCGUUCGCGAAACCCUAAUCUCCUUCAACAACGACUGGAAACGCGCACUCGAGUUCUUCAACUGGGUACAAACUGAAUUCAACUUCCCACACUCCACCGAAACCUAUAACCUAAUCCUCGACAUCUUAGGUAAAUUCUUUGAGUUCCAACAAUGUUGGAAUCUAAUCCACCGUAUGCAAAACAACCCUAAUUCUUUCCCCAACCACACCACCUUCCGUGUCAUGUUCAAACGUUACAUCUCUGCUCACUGCAUCGACGACGCCGUUCAAACAUUCCAACGUUUAAAUGAGUUUAAUUUGAAAGACGAAACCUCUUUUUCGAAUCUCAUUGACGCUCUGUGUGAUCAUAAACACGUUCUCGAAGCUCAAGAUUUGGUUUUCGGAACACAAAAGACUCUAACGUUAUCUUGGAAAAUUGAUGGGAUUGUUGUUAGUAGUAAUAAUACUAAGAUUUAUAAUAUUGUUCUUCGUGGUUGGUAUAAGUUGGGUUGGUGGAGUAAGUGUUGGGAGUUUUGGGAUGAAAUGGAUAGAAAAGGUGUUCAAAAGGAUCUACAUUCUUAUUCCAUUUACAUGGAUAUUUUGUCUAAAGGUGGAAAACCAUGGAAAGCUGUGAAAUUGUUUCAGGAGAUGAAGAGAAAAGGUAUUAAAUUAGAUGUUGUUGUUUAUAACAUUGCGAUUAGAGCUAUUGGUGUUUCACAAGGUGUUGAUUUUUCGAUUAGGUUAUUUCGUGAAAUGAAGGAUGCGGGAUUUAAUCCUACUGUUGUUACUUAUAAUACUAUUAUCAGGCUUCUGUGUGAUAGUUAUAGAUAUAAGGAAGCUCUUGCUUUGCUUCGAACUAUGCGUCAUAAUGGUUGUUUUCCGACUGCUGUUUCAUAUCAAUGCUUUUUUUCUUGUCUUGAGAAGCCGAAACUUAUAGUUGACUUGUUUGAUGGUAUGAUUGAAAGUGGUGUUCGUCCCACGAUGGAUACCUAUGUUAUGCUCCUUAAGAAGUUUUCACGGUGGGGAUUUCUUCGAUUGGUGUUUGUUGUUUGGAAUAGAAUGGAACAACUUGGAUGUAGUCCUGAUGCGGCUGCUUACAAUGCUUUGAUAGAUGCUCUUGUGGAAAAAGGGUUGAUUAAUAUGGCUAGGAAGUAUGAUGAAGAGAUGUUGGCUAAAGGACUUUCGCCUAGGCCGAGGAAAGAGUUGGGGACAAAGGUUUUGGGAGGAGAAUUUGUUGAGGAAUAGUUGGUAUACAAGUAUGCACACCGACACUGAGGUUCAUCCAAGUGAUGUCUUGGGUCCUUCUAUUCCUGGUCCUAUUGUACUCCUUGUGGAUUGCCCAACAGAAUCUCACUUGGAAGCAUUAUUGUCUUCAAAAUCACUAGCUACUUAUGGUGAUCAAGUGGAGGAAAACCUGCCAAAGGCUGGUAAGGGUGUUGCGUGUGUAAUUCACUUGUCUCCUGAAUCUGUUGUAAGUUGUUCAAAAUACCAAACAUGGAUGAAGGCAUUUGGUUCUGCACAGCAUAUCAUGGCCGGACAUGAAAAUGAUGUUAGGUGUUGAAGCUCUUGAAAGGCUGAUGGUUGAGUGUGAUAUUUCAAAUUUUGAAGAGUUAUGAUUUGAUUCUCAAGAGAGCGCUCUUAACAAUUGAACAAAAUCAUCAUAGGGUUUGUUUACAUCAAAAGAUUAAACAAAAUAGGAUGAGUUCUCUAUGAUAUGCUUGGCAUUCAAGGAGUCGUAGCUUCGCCCAUUAGCAUAUCUAAAGAUAUGAAUCUUUGAAAUAAAAAACAUGCAAUUAUUGCAGUUAAUAAAUCAAAAUUGUAGAAUAAAAAUCCCAGUAUUCUCAUUCUAAA